Molecule: ribosomal RNA, 413 nt
Filed under: uncultured Rhizophagus
Lineage: Eukaryota; Fungi; Glomeromycota; Glomeromycetes; Glomerales; Glomeraceae
Description: partial 28S ribosomal RNA
Source: RNAcentral
GAGAGUUAAACAGUACGUGAAAUUGUUGAAAGGGAAACGAUUGAAGCCAGUCGUACCUGCGGACAAUCAGCUUUUUGAGUGUGAUUAUGUGGAUUGUGAGGAGUUUAAUCACCCUCAUGUUUUGCAUAUUCGUACUCUUGGGUGUACUUGCCCGUGUGGUUGGUUAACAUCAAUUUUGGUGGUCAUAAAAUGACUGGGGGAAUGUAGCUUCGAUCUUGUAUUGAAGUGUUAUAGCCUUCGGUAGAUGUGAUGAUCGAGAUUGAGGAUUGCAACGGAUACCCUUUGGGGCUACCUGUCUGAUCUCUGAUCGUUGCUUUGGUGCCGAAAGCUUGCUUACGGUUAUCAAAGUCGAUGGUCAAUAGGUUAGAACGGGUUAAAUUCGUUAAGGAUGUUGACGUAAUGGCUUUAAACGA